This 253-nucleotide ribosomal RNA is filed under the name uncultured bacterium. RNAcentral's name for it is "partial 16S ribosomal RNA". It matches the Rfam family "Bacterial small subunit ribosomal RNA", at positions 524 to 776 of the family's 1533-position model. The record is from RNAcentral.
UACGUAGGGUGCGAGCGUUAAUCGGAAUUACUGGGCGUAAAGCGUGCGCAGGCGGUUCUGAAAGUCAGCUGUGAAAGCCCCGGGCUCAACCUGGGAAUGGCAUUUGGGACUGCAAGGCUUGAGUGCGGCAGAGGAGACUGGAAUUCCUGGUGUAGCAGUGAAAUGCGUAGAUAUCAGGAGGAAUACCGAUGGCGAAGGCAGGUCUCUGGGCUGACACUGACGCUCAUGCACGAAAGCGUGGGGAGCAAACAGG